GUGUUUGCCUCAGCAACACAUACACUAAAAUUGGAAUGAUACAGGGAAGAUUAGCAUGGUCCCCAUGCAAGGAUGAGGUGCAAAUUCAUGAAGAGUUCCAUAUUAAA
Small nuclear RNA from Hippopotamus amphibius kiboko, 107 nucleotides. NCBI's taxonomy places the organism in Eukaryota, Metazoa, Chordata, Mammalia, Artiodactyla, Hippopotamidae. The record is from RefSeq and is a predicted model, not a curated record.